CAUGCAAGUCGAACGGCAGCACGGACUUCGGUCUGGUGGCGAGUGGCGAACGGGUGAGUAAUAUAUCGGAACGUAUCCAAUAAUAGGGGAUAACUAAUCGAAAGGUUGGCUAAUACCGCAUACGCCCUACGGGGGAAAGCUAGGGACCUUCGGGCCUGGCGUUAAUGGAGCGGCCGAUAUCUGAUUAGCUAGUUGGUGGGGUAAAGGCCCACCAAGGCGACGAUCAGUAGCUGGUCUGAGAGGACGACCAGCCACACUGGAACUGAGACACGGUCCAGACUCCUACGGGAGGCAGCAGUGGGGAAUUUUGGACAAUGGGCGAAAGCCUGAUCCAGCCAUUCCGCGUGAGUGAAGAAGGCCUUCGGGUUGUAAAGCUCUUUCGCAAGGGAAGAAAGAUUACUCUCUAACAUAGAGUGAUUAUGACGGUACCUUGAUAAGAAGCACCGGCUAACUACGUGCCAGCAGCCGCGGUAAUACGUAGGGUGCGAGCGUUAAUCGGAAUUACUGGGCGUAAAGCGUGCGCAGGCGGUUUUGUAAGUCAGAUGUGAAAUCCCCGAGCUCAACUUGGGAACUGCGUUUGAAACUACAAGACUAGAAUAUGUCAGAGGGGGGUAGAAUUCCACGUGUAGCAGUGAAAUGCGUAGAGAUGUGGAGGAAUACCAAUGGCGAAGGCAGCCCCCUGGGAUAAUAUUGACGCUCAUGCACGAAAGCGUGGGGAGCAAACAGGAUUAGAUACCCUGGUAGUCCACGCCCUAAACGAUGUCUACUAGUUGUUGGUGGAGUAAAAUCCAUGAGUAACGCAGCUAACGCGUGAGGUAGACCGCCUGGGGAGUACGAUCGCAAGAUUAAACUCAAGGAAUUGACGGGACCCGCACAGCGUGAUGAUGUGUUUAAUCGAUGCAACGCGAAAACCUUACCCACUUUGACAUGU
Molecule: ribosomal RNA, 931 nt
Filed under: uncultured bacterium
Lineage: Bacteria
Description: bacterial SSU rRNA
Rfam family: Bacterial small subunit ribosomal RNA
Source: RNAcentral